GACGAACGCUGGCGGCGUGCUUAACACAUGCAAGUCGAACGGAAAGGCCCUGCUUUUGUGGGGUGCUCGAGUGGCGAACGGGUGAGUAACACGUGAGUAACCUGCCCUUGACUUUGGGAUAACUUCAGGAAACUGGGGCUAAUACCGGAUAGGAGCUCCUGCUGCAUGGUGGGGGUUGGAAAGUUUCGGCGGUUGGGGAUGGACUCGCGGCUUAUCAGCUUGUUGGUGGGGUAGUGGCUUACCAAGGCUUUGACGGGUAGCCGGCCUGAGAGGGUGACCGGCCACAUUGGGACUGAGAUACGGCCCAGACUCCUACGGGAGGCAGCAGUGGGGAAUAUGACACAAUGGGCGGAAGCCUGAUGCAGCAACGCCGCGUGCGGGAUGACGGCCUUCGAGUUGUAAACCGCUUUCGCCGGUGACGAAGCGUGAGUGACGGUAAUGGGUAAAGAAGCACCGGCUAACUACGUG
This 468-nucleotide ribosomal RNA is filed under the name uncultured bacterium. Its description in RNAcentral is "partial 16S ribosomal RNA". It matches the Rfam family "Bacterial small subunit ribosomal RNA", at positions 28 to 507 of the family's 1533-position model. The record is from RNAcentral.